This 245-nucleotide ribosomal RNA is filed under the name uncultured bacterium. RNAcentral describes it as "partial 16S ribosomal RNA". It matches the Rfam family "Bacterial small subunit ribosomal RNA", at positions 524 to 768 of the family's 1533-position model. The record is from RNAcentral.
GACGUAUGAGGCGAGCGUUGUUCGAAAUUAUUGGGCGUAAAGGGCGUGUAGGCGGGGGAUUAAGUUAGGUGUGAAAGCCAUGGGCUCAACCCGUGAAUUGCACCUAAAACUGGUUCUCUUGAGUUAGGGUAAGGAAAGCGGAAUUCCCGGUGUAGCGGUGAAAUGCGUAGAUAUCGGGAAGAACACCAGUGGCGAAGGCGGCUUUCUGACCUAUAACUGACGCUAAGGCGCGAAAGCGUGGGGAG